Molecule: microRNA, 22 nt
Filed under: Capitella teleta
Lineage: Eukaryota; Metazoa; Annelida; Polychaeta; Capitellidae
Description: cte-miR-92b
Gene: cte-miR-92b
Source: miRBase by way of RNAcentral
AAUUGCACUGUUCCCGGCCUGC